Long non-coding RNA from Folsomia candida, 1568 nucleotides. RefSeq lists it as uncharacterized. The transcript has 3 exons. The record is from RefSeq and is a predicted model, not a curated record. NCBI's taxonomy places the organism in Eukaryota, Metazoa, Arthropoda, Collembola, Entomobryomorpha, Isotomidae.
UGGGGACAUUGUCCCUCUAUCCUUCCGCGGCCACUGUACAAGAAUUGGGGCUUAAGUAAGUAACCAAAUUGCAGCCUAAAUAAAAAAUAAAGUGAGCAAAAUAUCAAACUAAAAUGCAAUCUAUCAUCAUUCUUAUUCUCCUCUCUUUAAUCCUUUCCUUCGCUUUUUCGCCUUCGUACAUCGUACUUGGUAUACAAAUGUUCAUGUCAUUGACAAAAGGUUUUAAUUUUUUUAUACAUCUAUCUGCACAACGCAAUCUUAAAUGUGACGUGAUGUUGGGUUAAAGAAAGGGAGGAAAAAAAUGAUGGUUCUUGAAGUUGAAAUAACACAUGCUGUAGAUAAAAGCAUUUGUCAUUUAGAGUGCAUGACGUGGAUGUUUUGAAACUUGUGUAUUUUUCUAAACUUUAAGACCAAGCAGGUUAUAUGCGAUUGGACGAAGGUGUCAUUGGACCGACUUAUGGGCAGACACAGGUUAUCUAUGCGAUUGAACGAAGGGGGUAAAAAACAUUUUAAAAAAUAUUUUAAGGCGUCAUGGACCGACUUAUGCAUGGACAGACAAUGGUGAUUAUUUGAUUAAUGUAAUGUAUGCGACCUUUACUCGGUCAAUCAAUAUAUUGGUUUUUAAGACAUAGAUAAUUAAUUAAAUAAAGCCUACUUUUGAAAGGUUAAAACAUUUCCAAAUCGGUAAAUCGUGUCAAAUUAAUAAAUCAUAAAGUUUUGAAAAUCCUUAUGUAUGUAUCGUUCUAAAGUCCAAUUAUUGAUAAGCAGUUCCUCAUUUCAAGCCAACAUUUAUUUACAUAUUUAUGUAUGGUCGUCGGAUGUGUGCCUCCUGAAUUUAUAAUUGGAGAGAGAAAGUCGCCCACGGAUUGGCAUACGUAAUUUGCCCAGUUCUUAUCAAGAACAGACCCACCAUGAUAAAAUCUCAAGUUGCAUAUGCAAUGAUGCAGGUGCAAGUAUUUUGCACUUGUUGUGAUUAAUUUCUGGGAAAUGAUUGUUAUUAUGUACUUAUCAGGGAACUGUUCAGUCAGUCAAAAAAAAGAUAACCUCUACAGAUAACCUUUAUGUACUGUAUGUACUUGGAUGUUACUUUCUCAAUAAUAUUUACUGGGUCUUUUCCCUGUUUGUGGAUUAUAUUAUUGUAAUCUCCUAAUUAACAUCGCGACAUCUUAUUCUACAGAAAGAAAUAUGGAAUACACAUGGAUGGAAACUUUCAGAAACUUUUUACCGAUUUAUACAUACAUAUUUUUUCGCAGUGUCCUUGUUUACUUCAUUCACUCGUGGCACAGAGCUAAGCCAAAGCUAAUCUUAUCUUAUCAAAAUCGCCAUUUAAUUCCUGUACCACGGCAAGGAGCGAAGUCAACAAUUCCAUAAAACCUUUGCCACACCACCAUUCACAACAAUAAGAAAAACAGAAAAACAGAUAAAUUAGCUGGUCUGGUUUGACGUGACAUUAGAGAAAAACAAGAGAGAAGAGAAUGGGAGAAAAACACGUCAAAAUUCUGACACGACCACGCUAAACAAAACUGCAACCUUAUAAUUAAACCAAAUGUGAUGCAUAUAAUAAUUCC